UCAAUUGUAUUAAUUCUUAUAUUUAGUUCCAGAUCAUUUACACUUCCAAGUGGCAAGAAUAAAUACAUCAUUCACAUUAGAGUACACUGUCCUUUAACUCUAUUCAAGAAACUUUUUUUUUUUUGGUAAAAUUAUCCAAGAAACUCUCUCUUCGGUAGUACCUGACCUUAUUUGAGCUAAACUUCAUCCAAUGAUGAGAUGAAAAUUUGUGUAGAAAUUCAUAAUUUGAGUGUAUUUUGCUCUGGUUGUAUCAAUUUUUGAGUUCUUCUGCUCAUGUUUUUCCCGAUUUAAGCUAGGGUUCUUAUGGCGAUCUUAUCUGCCCCAAUUUCAAAGAAGGAAGCUAAUGGACUACUGGCAUCACUGCAAGAUUUAUCAACUCAUUUUCUGUGGAGACAAUAUAAUUGGCACCUAAAAAAUGUAUUAGCCUCAACUUCAGAGAAGUUUUCUGAAUAUUCAGGUGUCCAAGUUAUACUAAGACAUGUCAAUUUGUGGUUGCAGUUUUAUUCAUUUGUAGAAGGUUUAAGGAUCAAGUUAUGUUGCUGGAAGCACCAACUCGUUAGGUGGCUCCGAUGCUGACUGCCGUUCGCAACUACAAGUCUCCUCUCAACGGUUGAUAACUAUAAAACUGGCAUUUUUAUCCUUGAGAAUGACAUAUCUGAUGUUGAUCGUUUCCCCAAAUUGUUACACAUAGCAUGCUCUUUUUAUGUGAUUUGCUCCAUUGUUUCAUAAAGAUACUGUUAAUGAUCAUUUUUAAAUGGGAAAGAACAUUAUACUGAUGCAGGAAAUUAAUGUACAUGCUAUAAGUUGUAAA
This is a long non-coding RNA of Lycium ferocissimum, 811 nucleotides long. RefSeq lists it as uncharacterized. The record is from RefSeq and is a predicted model, not a curated record. The transcript is spliced from 2 exons. Lineage: Eukaryota; Viridiplantae; Streptophyta; Magnoliopsida; Solanales; Solanaceae.